RNAcentral lists this unclassified non-coding RNA (331 nucleotides) under soil metagenome. RNAcentral describes it as "partial contains 5.8S ribosomal RNA, internal transcribed spacer 2, and large subunit ribosomal RNA". The stretch from base 1 to 120 matches the Rfam family "5.8S ribosomal RNA", at positions 35 to 154 of the family's 154-position model. The record is from RNAcentral.
GAUGAAGAACGCAGCAAAAUGCGAUAAGUAAUGUGAAUUGCAGAAUUCAGUGAAUCAUCGAAUCUUUGAACGCACAUUGCGCCCGCCAGUAUUCUGGCGGGCAUGCCUGUUCGAGCGUCAUUUCAACCCUCAAGCACAGCUUGGUGUUGGGACUCGCGUUAAUUCGCGUUCCUCAAAUUGAUUGGCGGUCACGUCGAGCUUCCAUAGCGUAGUAGUAAAACCCUCGUUACUGGUAAUCGUCGCGGCCACGCCGUUAAACCCCAACUUCUGAAUGUUGACCUCGGAUCAGGUAGGAAUACCCGCUGAACUUAAGCAUAUCAAUAAGGGAGGA